This 492-nucleotide ribosomal RNA is filed under the name uncultured bacterium. Its description in RNAcentral is "partial 16S ribosomal RNA". It matches the Rfam family "Bacterial small subunit ribosomal RNA", at positions 29 to 507 of the family's 1533-position model. The record is from RNAcentral.
AAUGAACGCUGGCGGCAGGCCUAACACAUGCAAGUCGAACGGCAGCACAGUAAGCGCUAUUUCUUCCGGGGGGGGACUGGCGGGCGAGACAGGUAUACAUCCGAAUCUAGUUUGUCGGGGGGGUCGACGUAGGGAGAAUUACGCCACUAGAACAUAAGGCGAACGGGUGGAAGCAGGGGGACUCCGGACCUUGCGGCGGUGGAUGAGGCGAUGGCUGAUUGGGUGGUUGGCGGGGUAAAGGCCCACCAAGGCGACGAUUCGGAGCUGGGCUGGGUGGAUGAUCAGCCACACUGGAACUGAGACACGGCCCAGACUCCGACGGGAGGCAGCAGUGGGGAAUAUUGGACAAUGGGCGCAAUCCUGAUCCAGCCAUACCGCGGGGGUGAAGAAGACCUUCGGGUUGUAAAUCGCUUUUGUUGGGAAAGAAAAGCUGCAGGUUAAUACCCCGCGGUACUGACGGUACCCAAAGAAUAAGCACCGGCUAACUACGUG